GAGCUGGGUUUAGAACGUCGUGAGACAGUUCGGUCCCUAUCCGCUGCGUGCGUAGGAAAUUUGUGGAGGCCUGUCCUUAGUACGAGAGGACCGGGACGGACGAACCUCUGGUGUGCCAGUUGUACCGCCAGGUGCAUGGCUGGUUGGCUACGUUCGGGAAGGAUAACCGCUGAAAGCAUCUAAGCGGGAAGCCUGCUUCGAGAUGAGAUUUCCAACCCCACUUGUUGGGGGUGAGGUGUCCUAUAGAUUAUGGGUUUGAUAGGCCGGGUAUGGAAGCACUGUAAGGUGUGGAGUUGACUGGUACUAAUACGCCGAUCACUCAUACAACCAUUUUUUGUUGGU
This 342-nucleotide ribosomal RNA is filed under the name Brevibacterium aurantiacum. Its description in RNAcentral is "partial 23S ribosomal RNA". It matches the Rfam family "Bacterial large subunit ribosomal RNA", at positions 2602 to 2925 of the family's 2925-position model. Lineage: Bacteria; Bacillati; Actinomycetota; Actinomycetes; Micrococcales; Brevibacteriaceae. The record is from RNAcentral.